Paramisgurnus dabryanus is the source of this 1640-nucleotide non-coding RNA. NCBI's taxonomy places the organism in Eukaryota, Metazoa, Chordata, Actinopteri, Cypriniformes, Cobitidae. The record is from RefSeq and is a predicted model, not a curated record.
AUGCAUUCAUGUAAUGCCUUGUUAGGAAGAAAUUUUUUAUAGAUAAAAAUCAUGACCACCGAUGUGACCUUUGACUCCCAAAAUGCAGAUACUGCACUCUGCCUUUGAAAGACCUUACACAACUAAAACACUAUUGCAAAAGCAAAGUGCAGUAUCUACGAACUAAAUGUGUUCAUUCAACUUUUUCUCAUGCUUCUUAAUACAUUUUGAUUGUUUUUAAUAACUGUAAUAGUUUUAUUUAUGUUUGUGAAUGCUAAAAAUGCUCAUUUUACCACAAAGAGAGUAUUUAACUCACUUUAUUAAUUUUUAUUUAUUAAAAAAUUACAUUAGACGAGGUUUACUUUAAAACAGUAGUUAAAAAUUAACAUAAUUUAAAAAUAGAAGAACAUGUUUGUCCCAAAGAUAUUAUUGUUUCAAAUGUACUAAAAGUGGUAACUAACAGUAUGUACAUUUUAGUUAAUUUUCAUCUCAAAGUAGCACAGUUAUGUAAACUUAGAUAUUUUUAAGAUUAGCUUAAGAAGUACUAAACUAAAUGUUUUAAUAUUAAGUAGCCUACAAAAUUAGUUCGUGGAGAAAGAGCACUUAUUAUGGAAGUGUACUUUUUCACAUAGUGUGCUUUCUGCUGGCCCGGCUGCGCUCGUCAGGUUGACUGGGCUCCGCUAUCUUUGCCUAACAAUAAAACUUUACCAGACUCUUAUCAAACUUUUGAUGGAGUAACCCCUGUCAAUACAAUUUGAUUAGCUGCCUAAAAAGUGGAGAGAUGUUCGAAUCAACAAACACCAAUGCGCUUGAAUCGGAUUAUAUCAUUAUUGUCGGAGGAUAUUGCCUUCAAUGGACGAGCACAGAAAUAAGCGGGAAGAUGUAGGCUGCCCAAUAAACAAUGAAGAGACAGAUCCAGAACAUCAGAACUGAAGCGACACACAUCAGAAAUCCAGGAGCAACAGCAGCAACAACACGAAAGAUCACAAUGACAUCAUCUGUACUGAGACCUGUGGUAAAUAAUAAAGAGUUAUUACUGUAAAUGAAUCUGAUCUUAGAUCAGUGAAUAUCAUUACUGUGACUGAAUCUGUCUGAUCUUAUCAGUUCAUUAAAUAAACACUAAUAAUCACAGCUACUGUACCUGAACACGUCUGACAGAGAUUCUUGAUGUUGAGAUGUUGAGUUUGGUUUGUGAUGGGAUUGUUGAGUACACAUCUGUAUGUGUUGUUAUCCUGAUAUUCAACCUCCAGAGGUAGAGAGAGUCUGAUGUUGAGAUCAGACACACUGAUGAUGGACAAUAAACUGUUUCCUUUAUACCAGGACAGACUCACAUCUCUUACAUCUCUAAUAUUCAACACUGAACACACAAAGACACAUGAUGAACAUUGUGAAGAGUCUCUGCUGAUGACAGGAACGGGCAGAUGAGCUGAAAAACAUGAGAGAAAUAAGAAUCAAAGCAAAUAUUAUUAAUAUUAGUCAAGAGGUCCGAUCUAUUGACACUGUUUAAUGUCUUCAGUCAUAAUGGAUUAAUAAAUAAAAUGGAGGUAAAAUCAUCUUGAGGUUGAGAAACAAAAUAAGGUGCAUUUAUAUUUAAUCCCAAACCCCUGAGUUUACACAGCUAAGAUAAAUAUGACAGUUAAUAUGUAGAUCUUUACUCACUA